UACGAAGGGGGCUAGCGUUGUUCGGAAUUACUGGGCGUAAAGGGCGCGUAGGCGGUCCCUCAAGUCAGGCGUGAAAGCCCCGGGCUCAACCUGGGAACGGCGCUUGAGACUGGCACGCUCGAGUUCGGGAGAGGAUGGUGGAAUUCCCAGUGUAGAGGUGAAAUUCGUAGAUAUUGGGAAGAACACCGAUGGCGAAGGCAGCCAUCUGGACCGACACUGACGCUGAGGCGCGAAAGCGUGGGGAGCAAACAGG
This 253-nucleotide ribosomal RNA is filed under the name uncultured bacterium. Its description in RNAcentral is "partial 16S ribosomal RNA". It matches the Rfam family "Bacterial small subunit ribosomal RNA", at positions 524 to 776 of the family's 1533-position model. The record is from RNAcentral.